UGGCUCAGUUGGUAGAGCGUGACACUUGCAAUGCCAGGGUUGUGGGUUCGAUUCCCAC
Molecule: non-coding RNA, 58 nt
Organism: Salmo salar (Atlantic salmon)
Lineage: Eukaryota; Metazoa; Chordata; Actinopteri; Salmoniformes; Salmonidae
Source: Rfam